Molecule: unclassified non-coding RNA, 351 nt
Filed under: fungal sp.
Lineage: Eukaryota; Fungi
Description: partial internal transcribed spacer region
Rfam family: Eukaryotic small subunit ribosomal RNA (bases 1-46)
Source: RNAcentral
AAGUCGUAACAAGGUCUCCGUAGGUGAACCUGCGGAAGGAUCAUUAACACGUAUCCAACCGUUAAAUAGCCCGGAAAGUAGCUUUAUUCAGAGAACUCUGGCCCGUGCAAACAUUGGAACAGUUACAAUCGACUGCGGUAGUUCUAUAGGCAUUGUUUCCCCAAGCAGUCAGUGUCUGAAAGUGUCAUAGAUUGUGCAAGGAUAGCGCUUCACGAUUCCUGCAGACCGUAAACUCGGGCAGGAGCUAUGCCAAAGGGUCCCCAUGCCCCCUUGUAACCCCAAUGGGAAGCUCAAUGUAAUACAUUGGGUAAAAAAACCGAACAACUGUUAACAAUGGAUAUCUUGGUUCUC